UACGUAGGGUGCGAGCGUUGUCCGGAAUUACUGGGUGUAAAGGGUUCGUAGGCGGUGCGGCAAGUUGGGAGUGAAAUCUCUGGGCUUAACCCAGAGGCUGCUUCCAAAACUGCUGUGCUUGAGUGUGGGAGGGGCGCGUGGAAUUGCAGGUGUAGCGGUGAAAUGCGUAGAUAUCUGCAGGAACACCCGUGGCGAAAGCGGCGCGCUGGACCACUACUGACGCUGAGGAACGAAAGCUAGGGGAGCAAACAGG
This 253-nucleotide ribosomal RNA is filed under the name uncultured bacterium. RNAcentral's name for it is "partial 16S ribosomal RNA". It matches the Rfam family "Bacterial small subunit ribosomal RNA", at positions 524 to 776 of the family's 1533-position model. The record is from RNAcentral.